UUUAAGUGCAACCACGAGUUUCCAUGUGAACUUUGAUAGUCCGUCUUAUUAAUUUUUUUUAUGAUUAGUAUUUUUAUUUUUAUUAGAUGAUAAAACAUGAAUAAUACUUAUGUUUUUAAUUUUUUUUAAUUUUUUUAAAUAAGACGGACGAUCAAAACUGGACACGGAAAAUCAUGUUGCACUUAAA
Oryza meridionalis is the source of this 187-nucleotide non-coding RNA. Lineage: Eukaryota; Viridiplantae; Streptophyta; Magnoliopsida; Poales; Poaceae. The record is from Rfam.